RNAcentral lists this ribosomal RNA (253 nucleotides) under uncultured bacterium. RNAcentral describes it as "partial 16S ribosomal RNA". It matches the Rfam family "Bacterial small subunit ribosomal RNA", at positions 524 to 776 of the family's 1533-position model. The record is from RNAcentral.
UACGAAGGGGGCUAGCGUUGUUCGGAAUCACUGGGCGUAAAGAGCACGUAGGCGGAUCUUUAAGUCAGGGGUGAAAUCCCGAGGCUCAACCUCGGAACUGCCUUUGAUACUGGGGAUCUCGAGUCCGGGAGAGGUGAGUGGAACUGCGAGUGUAGAGGUGAAAUUCGUAGAUAUUCGCAAGAACACCAGUGGCGAAGGCGGCUCACUGGCCCGGAACUGACGCUGAGGCGCGAAAGCUAGGGUAGCAAACGGG